GAUCCUGACUCAGGAUGAACGCUAGCUACAGGCUUAACACAUGCAAGUCGAGGGGCAGCAUUUUAGUUUGCUUGCAAACUGAAGAUGGCGACCGGCGCACGGGUGAGUAACACGUAUCCAACCUGCCGAUAACUCCGGGAUAGCCUUUCGAAAGAAAGAUUAAUACCGGAUAGCAUACGAAUAUCGCAUGAUAUUUUUAUUAAAGAAUUUCGGUUAUCGAUGGGGAUGCGUUCCAUUAGUUUGUUGGG
Molecule: ribosomal RNA, 248 nt
Filed under: uncultured bacterium
Lineage: Bacteria
Description: partial 16S ribosomal RNA
Rfam family: Bacterial small subunit ribosomal RNA
Source: RNAcentral